RNAcentral lists this ribosomal RNA (253 nucleotides) under uncultured bacterium. Its description in RNAcentral is "partial 16S ribosomal RNA". It matches the Rfam family "Bacterial small subunit ribosomal RNA", at positions 524 to 776 of the family's 1533-position model. The record is from RNAcentral.
UACGGAGGGGGCUAGCGUUGUUCGGAAUUACUGGGCGUAAAGCGCACGUAGGCGGCUUUGUAAGUUAGAGGUGAAAGCCCGGGGCUCAACCCCGGAAUUGCCUUUAAGACUGCAUCGCUUGAAUCCGGGAGAGGUGAGUGGAAUUCCGAGUGUAGAGGUGAAAUUCGUAGAUAUUCGGAAGAACACCAGUGGCGAAGGCGACUCACUGGACACAUAUUGACGCUGAGGUGCGAAAGCGUGGGGAGCGAACAGG